RNAcentral lists this ribosomal RNA (809 nucleotides) under Microbacterium barkeri. RNAcentral describes it as "bacterial SSU rRNA". It matches the Rfam family "Bacterial small subunit ribosomal RNA", at positions 71 to 889 of the family's 1533-position model. Lineage: Bacteria; Bacillati; Actinomycetota; Actinomycetes; Micrococcales; Microbacteriaceae. The record is from RNAcentral.
AAGCCCAGCUUGCUGGGUGGAUUAGUGGCGAACGGGUGAGUAACACGUGAGCAACCUGCCCCUGACUCUGGGAUAACAGCCGGAAACGGUUGCUAAUACCGGAUAUGCAUCAUGGCCGCAUGGUCUGUGGUGGGAAAGAUUUUUCGGUUGGGGAUGGGCUCGCGGCCUAUCAGCUUGUUGGUGAGGUAGUGGCUCACCAAGGCGUCGACGGGUAGCCGGCCUGAGAGGGUGACCGGCCACACUGGGACUGAGACACGGCCCAGACUCCUACGGGAGGCAGCAGUGGGGAAUAUUGCACAAUGGGCGGAAGCCUGAUGCAGCAACGCCGCGUGAGGGAUGACGGCCUUCGGGUUGUAAACCUCUUUUAGCAGGGAAGAAGCGAAAGUGACGGUACCUGCAGAAAAAGCGCCGGCUAACUACGUGCCAGCAGCCGCGGUAAUACGUAGGGCGCAAGCGUUAUCCGGAAUUAUUGGGCGUAAAGAGCUCGUAGGCGGUUUGUCGCGUCUGCUGUGAAAACCCGAGGCUCAACCUCGGGCCUGCAGUGGGUACGGGCAGACUAGAGUGCGGUAGGGGAGAUUGGAAUUCCUGGUGUAGCGGUGGAAUGCGCAGAUAUCAGGAGGAACACCGAUGGCGAAGGCAGAUCUCUGGGCCGUUACUGACGCUGAGGAGCGAAAGGGUGGGGAGCAAACAGGCUUAGAUACCCUGGUAGUCCACCCCGUAAACGUUGGGAACUAGUUGUGGGGGGCCUUUCCACGGUCUCCGUGACGCAGCUAACGCAUUAAGUUCCCCGCCCUGGGGAGUACGGCCGC